CGGCAGCACGGGAGCAAUCCUGGUGGCGAGUGGCGAACGGGUGAGUAAUACAUCGGAACGUGUCCUGUAGUGGGGGAUAGCCCGGCGAAAGCCGGAUUAAUACCGCAUACGCUCUACGGAGGAAAGGGGGGGAUCUUAGGGCCUCCCGCUACAGGGGCGGCCGAUGGCAGAUUAGCUAGUUGGUGGGGUAAAGGCCUACCAAGGCGACGAUCUGUAGCUGGUCUGAGAGGACGACCAGCCACACUGGGACUGAGACACGGCCCAGACUCCUACGGGAGGCAGCAGUGGGGAAUUUUGGACAAUGGGCGAAAGCCUGAUCCAGCAAUGCCGCGUGUGUGAAGAAGGCCUUCGGGUUGUAAAGCACUUUUGUCCGGAAAGAAAACGUCGUGGUUAAUACCCGUGGCGGAUGACGGUACCGGAAGAAUAAGCACCGGCUAACUACGUGCCAGCAGCCGCGGUAAUACGUAGGGUGCAAGCGUUAAUCGGAAUUACUGGGCGUAAAGCGUGCGCAGGCGGUUCGCUAAGACAGAUGUGAAAUCCCCGGGCUUAACCUGGGAACUGCAUUUGUGACUGGCGGGCUAGAGUAUGGCAGAGGGGGGUAGAAUUCCACGUGUAGCAGUGAAAUGCGUAGAGAUGUGGAGGAAUACCGAUGGCGAAGGCAGCCCCCUGGGCCAAUACUGACGCUCAUGCACGAAAGCGUG
This 701-nucleotide ribosomal RNA is filed under the name uncultured Burkholderia sp. RNAcentral's name for it is "bacterial SSU rRNA". It matches the Rfam family "Bacterial small subunit ribosomal RNA", at positions 67 to 763 of the family's 1533-position model. The record is from RNAcentral. Lineage: Bacteria; Pseudomonadati; Pseudomonadota; Betaproteobacteria; Burkholderiales; Burkholderiaceae.